AAGAAAGUGACAGAAAGGUUAUGUGUCUGGCUUGAAACCAGGAUAAGGGGGUUCGAUUCCCUCCUUUCUCG
RNAcentral lists this transfer RNA (71 nucleotides) under Amolops jinjiangensis. RNAcentral describes it as "tRNA-Ser". It matches the Rfam family "tRNA". Rfam says of the family: Transfer RNA (tRNA) molecules are approximately 80 nucleotides in length. Lineage: Eukaryota; Metazoa; Chordata; Amphibia; Anura; Ranidae. The record is from RNAcentral.